GAUCCUGGCUUAGGAUGAACGCUAGCUACAGGCUAACACAUGCAAGUCGAGGGGCAGCAUGUGGUUGCUUGCAACCAAUGAUGGCGACCGGCGCACGGGUGAGUAACGCGUAUCCAACCUUCCCUAUAGUAGAGGAUAGCCCGGCGAAAGUCGGAUUAAUACUCUAUGUUUUCCAAUGCAGACAUCUAAAAUGGAACAAAGGUUCACCGCUAUAGGAUGGGGAUGCGUCUGAUUAGAUAGUCGGCGGGGUAACGGCCCACCGAGUCGACGAUCAGUAGGGGUUCUGAGAGGAAGGUCCCCCACAUUGGAACUGAGACACGGUCCAAACUCCUACGGGAGGCAGCAGUGAGGAAUAUUGGUCAAUGGGCGAGAGCCUGAACCAGCCAAGUAAGCGUGCAGGAUGACGGCCCUAUGGGUUGUAAACUGCUUUUAUACAGGGAUAAAGUGACGUACGUGUACGUUUUUGUAGGUACUGUAUGAAUAAGGACCGGCUAAUUCCGUGCCAGCCGCGGC
Molecule: ribosomal RNA, 513 nt
Filed under: uncultured bacterium
Lineage: Bacteria
Description: bacterial SSU rRNA
Rfam family: Bacterial small subunit ribosomal RNA
Source: RNAcentral